UUUCAUCUCGUUUCCGGUGAGUAUUUCUCUAAAGCUCUCUUCCGUAUAUGUAUGUUGGUUUUCAUCAUUCAGACUUUAUUUUUAUUGUUUACAGGUUAAUUGUGUGAUUAAAAGUUUGAUUUUAAGACUUUUAAUAUUUUUAGAUGAUUGUGCUUGAUACUGGAUGACCUGACAAAUAGGGCUAUGCUCUAGUCGUUUGUGGAGGGAGAAGAAGAAGAAGAAAAGUUUAGUUACAUGAACCGAAAAGUUAGCACGGUCGUUUAAACCAAGUAGGAUACAAUCGAUUUGGGCUGCCGCUUUUUGACUUGCAAGACUGAACUUAUUUUCUCAGUGUGCUACAAAUAGGUUCCCUGAAAUGGCGAUACUCCAACAGCCCCUUCCCCUGAUGGAUAUUCUUGGGUAUACAAAAGUAUCAGUUUUCAUCAGUUUAAGGGUCACUGAACAUAAGAGAAGUUUAAUCAGAAACAUAAUCAGUCAUGAUUUGGGCAGAAUUGAUCAUAUUUUGUGCUUUACUCGGACACCAGUUUCUACCUUUUGACACAAUGAUGAAUCCGAUCGAUGGCUCGGAAUCUGACUCAGAUUCGGACACAGACUCGAACCGUCAUCUCGCUGUGGCAAUUAUGCUACUACGCCUACGCAGGGAAACUUUGAGGAGAGCCAAUAUUGAGGACGAUUGUCGCUUUUCACCCAAUCAUCGACUAGUGAGGCGGAACUGCGAGGGCGCUCUGACGACUUUCAACAGCCUCACCGCACGGGAGAGAACCGUCUGUCCGGAAGCCAGAGAUGCAAGGUGCAGACGAUGCGGCUUGUAUAUGAUCUGUCGUUGCACUUUCCUGUGCAGACUCCCAGAAACGGAUGAACUGCUUCAGAAACAACCGAGUGGCUUCCGCAACGCAUUGGGAAGUUCUCCGAGUGACGUAAGCAGGAGGUUCCGAUGCAAAGCGCUCGACGAUAUAGUUAGGGGUUUGCGUCAUUGAAGGGUAUCACGGGUCAAGUGGCUUAUUGGAACGGAGUUGUUACAUGUGUGAGGAAUUUGCGAUUUGACUGUUGAUUCUUACGUAAAAGUUCGCGAGAAACUCGAUUAUGCCACUGGUUUUCUCUGAUAUCAACUCCCAAGCUUGAAAAAGCUCUCAAGUUGAGGCCAAAAUGGAGGGGAUAUCCCAUGCUAUCCUGAGAGUCCACCUCUACAUCAAGACAAACUCUCCAUGCGAAGAUAGGGAGCAGAUACAUUAGCAGGGUUGCCGUGUUUUCAGUCUUAGAGUCCCCAAAUGAGGUGGCAGCCCUGUCAAUGCAAUUGCUUCCUAUCUUUGCAUGGAGAGUUUGUCUCAGUGUAGAGGUGGACUCUCAGGAUUGCGUGGGAUAUCCCCUCCAUUUUGGCCUCAACUUGAGAGCUUCUCUUGAGCUUGGGAGUUGAUUUCAGAGAAAAGCAGUGGCACCAUUGUGUUUCUCGGGAAAAAUCAACAGUCAAAUCGGAAAUUCCUCAUACACAUGCAACAUCUCCAUUCUAGAAAAAUGCUGAAGUGCAGAGGCGGAUCCAGAAAUUCGGCAACACCGGAUUUCCGCCAUUUAAACCUGUUUAACAAAUCGAUUCUUGGCCUUCACCUGGCCCAUCCAAGAAUCGAUACAUUUCAAUAGGUUUAAAUGGAGAAAAACAACGUUGCUAAUUUUCUGGAUACGCCAAUGCUGUGGUGUGAGUGAUUUUGAACUAAACUCGUGAAUAAAAGUUCUUAAAAAUUCAAACACUACGGCUCUUUUCUUGCCUUGAUUAGUUUUUGAGCUUUGCGUCGAGACGUUGAAAAGUAUCAAGCAGAGUCGUCUGAUUGUAUCGAUCAGAAUCUGCUUACUUAAACGGCGCUCGUUAUAAGUUCUGUAGUAAAUCUUUUUGAAAACAAAUUUAAGUCACUUGCUUUCCAAAUUGCGCUGAUAAAUGUAGUCGCAAGGUUUUGCAGCGUAAUGGAUAGCUCUUGCAUGAGUGUUGGAUUUGCGAUUUAGGUAGUGUUUUGUUGUAAAAUUUCGCGAGAAACACAAUGGUUCGAUGGUGCGAUUGACUUUCUUUGAAACAAACCCAAUAAAUGGACCGAGUUUACCAGAAGGAGUCAACUCACAUUAAAUUGAAACUGAGGAAAACAGGUUUGAAGUUUUAUCCCUGCAUAAGGCUCAAGGUAGAAAAUAAACUGUAACCCCUCUUUUCACAAAUCAAUUUAUUUUUUCCGACUUUUAGUUUUUGGCAGGAGAAAUUAUACGGCUAGUGGAACUCAAAAACAUUCUAAACUCGAUUUUAUCGAAAAUGUGGGCUGGUUCCUUUCUGAUAAACUCGGCCCAAAUAAAGCUCUUGAAGUUGAGGUCGUGAUGGAUGGGAUAUCCCACGCUAUCCUGAGAGUCAACUUCUCAAUAUAUAGUCAAACUUUCUAUGCAAAGAUAGGGAGCAAAUAUAUAUUAAAAGAGUUGCGACUUUCUUUGGUGAUUCCAAUACUGGAAACACGACAACCCUGAUAGUGUCCGAAGAUAUAGAGGUGGACUUUCAGGAUAGCGUGGAAUAUCCCCUCAUUUACAGUCUCAACUUUGAGAGCUUUUUUUGAGCUUUGGAGUUCGUUUCAGAGAAAACCAGUCGCACCAUUGUGUUUCUCGCGAAAUUUCACGCAAAAAAGUACUCAAAUCGUAAAUACCUCACACAUGCAAGAGCUUAAUUCUGGAAGAAAUCCUCUUAACAACAAACUCAAUACACUUUUUUCCCAAUGUUCGCCAGUUGCUAAGUUUUUCCAACGUAAUUGCCUCUCCGAAUAUGUAUCUCAGCUCGAAGGUUCCGAAUUGAAUUUUCAAUCCCCUCCCAUGGAGCUGAAAUAAUUUCGAAUGCAUUUCGCAUUUCUGAAUGUGUAACUAGUGACCCCGAUUAGCCCGUUACAAGCGGGUGGAUGAGAUGCACUAUCCAAAUGGACGUAUUUAUGCUAAAAAGAACUAUGUCUCACGCAAACCCUAUACACAUAGCUCCUUUCAGCAUAAACACGUCCGAAUAAACGUCACUCCGGCAGUAAAAUUUGAGUUAUGAGAUCCGUAUCAUCAGGUUCGCGGGUUCCUUCGUCCACUAACUCUUGUCAAGCAACAGCGUAACGCUGUAGCGCUCCAACUUGUCCAUGAUUCCGAUUACACUUCAACAUUUGGACGUAUUUCUGCCAAACGGAACUAUGUGCAUUGAGACAUGAGCCCUGAGACCCUUAAAAAUAUAUGCACAAAUGGGCUCACGUCAUAAUGCACAUAGUUCUGUUUGGCAGAAAUACGACCGUUUGAAGUAUGUAAGUUAAAAAGGACACAAAAUCAUUUUAAAAACGCUCAGAGACCGCAUAACCUCUUUUAGCAUUAUCAGUCUCUCUAGCAAAAUCUUCAAUUAUAGCUUAGAAUCGGUG
This 3401-nucleotide long non-coding RNA is filed under the name Bemisia tabaci. RNAcentral's name for it is "lncRNA ENSSSA1NGG002730". The record is from RNAcentral. Lineage: Eukaryota; Metazoa; Arthropoda; Insecta; Hemiptera; Aleyrodidae.